Molecule: ribosomal RNA, 393 nt
Filed under: uncultured bacterium
Lineage: Bacteria
Description: partial 16S ribosomal RNA
Rfam family: Bacterial small subunit ribosomal RNA
Source: RNAcentral
AUACGGAGGAUCCGAGCGUUAUCCGGAUUUAUUGGGUUUAAAGGGAGCGUAGGCGGACGCUUAAGUCAGUUGUGAAAGUUUGCGGCUCAACCGUAAAAUUGCAGUUGAUACUGGGUGUCUUGAGUACAGUAGAGGCAGGCGGAAUUCGUGGUGUAGCGGUGAAAUGCUUAGAUAUCACGAAGAACUCCGAUUGCGAAGGCAGGCUGCUGGACUGUAACUGAAGCUGAUGCUCGAAAGUGUGGGUAUCAAACAGGAUUAGAUACCCUGGUAGUCCACACAGUAAACGAUGAAUACUCGCUGUUUGCGAUAUACAGUAAGCGGCCAAGCGAAAGCGUUAAGUAUUCCACCUGGGGAGUACGCCGGCAACGGUGAAACUCAAAUGAAUUGGCGGGG